CUGUUUUUUACAUGGAUUUUUUGGCUUACUCUUUGUAAAAAAGGGACUGGCCAGACGAUUUUUCCAAAUAAUCCCAGAUUUUGACAACAUCACAAGUUAAAACCAAAAUCGUAGAGUUGCUAAGACUUGUUUGAUUUGAUCUGUAAUUGGAGGAAAGGUUUUGUGAUGAUGGUGUUUGACAUAUAAUGGCUGGGAUUUGUUGCGGUGUGUUGGGGAGAUUGAACCGGCGGCACUAAUGGAUUCAAUUACUCGAGCUUUCAAUGGUAGAUGUGUAUUGAUGUUAAUUGAGAUAGAGACUAUUUGCGAAAUUUGAUUUCAUCUUAACAUCAAUUCGAAAUCUAGAAGUUGUUUCUCAUGUGAAUUAAUGUCAUUUCGAGAAAAAAAUGAUUUUGGAUUUGAUUCAAAAUUGCAAAAUUCGAAUUUAACAUCAAUUCUAAAUUUGGGUUUUGAUUAACAUCAAUUCACAUGGAGAAGAUUUUACGAAUCCAUGAACUUGUAUAUUGUUAUUUAUUUUUCCAGAAAAAAUCUGGGAUUUGAAAAGGGAAGGAGGAAGAACAGAAGAAGACGAAAGGAGAUUCAUUUUUUUU
Arabidopsis thaliana (thale cress) is the source of this 587-nucleotide RNA transcript. RefSeq lists it as uncharacterized. The record is from RefSeq. Lineage: Eukaryota; Viridiplantae; Streptophyta; Magnoliopsida; Brassicales; Brassicaceae. The transcript has a single exon.